This 405-nucleotide ribosomal RNA is filed under the name uncultured bacterium. RNAcentral's name for it is "bacterial SSU rRNA". It matches the Rfam family "Bacterial small subunit ribosomal RNA", at positions 355 to 776 of the family's 1533-position model. The record is from RNAcentral.
UAGGGAAUUUUCCACAAUGGGCGAGAGCCUGAUGGAGCAACGCCGCGUGAUGGAUGAAGGCUUUCGGGUCGUAAACAUCUUUUCUCUGUGACGAAUAUGACGGUAGCAGAGGAAUAAGGAUCGGCUAACUACGUGCCAGCAGCCGCGGUCAUACGUAGGAUCCAAGCGUUAUCCGGAUUUACUGGGCGUAAAGAGUUGCGUAGGUGGUAUGGUAAGCGAAUAGUGAAAUGACGAGGCUCAACCUUGUGUCCAUUAUUUGAACUGCCAAACUUGAGAGUGAGAGAGGUAGAUGGAAUUGCUAGUGUAGGAGUGAAAUCCGUAGAUAUUAGCAGGAACACCGAUGGCGUAGGCAGUCUACUGGCUCAUUUCUGACACUAAGGCACGAAAGCGUGGGGAGCAAACGGG